Molecule: ribosomal RNA, 414 nt
Filed under: uncultured eukaryote
Lineage: Eukaryota
Description: SSU rRNA
Rfam family: Eukaryotic small subunit ribosomal RNA
Source: RNAcentral
ACGUACUGUGGUGUGAGAGGUGAAAUUCUUGGAUCGCCACAGGACGAACAGCAGCGAAGGCGUUCGCCAAGAAUGUUUUCAUUAAUCAAGAACGAAAGUUUGAGGUUCGAAGACGAUUAGAUACCGUCCUAGUUCAAACCAUAAACGUUGCCAACUGUCUUUUAGAUGCGGUUACUCAUAUGACUCAUCUGGCGGAUCUCGAGAAAUCUAAGUUUUAGGUUCCGGGGGAAGUAUGGUUGCAAAGCUGAAACUUAAAAGAAUUGACGGAAGGACACACAAGAAGUGGAGCCUGUGGCCUAAUUUGACCCAACACGGGAAACCUUACUCGGCCAGGACACUUUUAGGAUUGACAGAUUGAGAGCUCUUUCUUGAUUAGGUGGGUGGUGGUGCAUGGUCGUUCGUAGUUCGUGGAGC